CCAUUCGUUACAUACAGCGUUCCAUCUAUCCCUACGAUGAGCUUCCUACAUAUCCACCUUGUGCAGCAAAACCCACCCCAUCCCCGCCGUGUGCCGAUCUACACCUGGCCCCCUUUCGGACCCCAUCGUCUUCUUCCCAUUCGACCGAACUUGUGGGGUCCAUAGACCCAGCUCGUCACAUCCUUUCUUGCCAUUUCCUGCUCCGUCCUGCCUCACGGCUUGGCCCCGAUCGGCGAGCGUCCUCAUGGGUGUUACUGUGUCCUAUAUUGACUGGUGAUCAGGGGUUCCCCGUUUGUACCUCUUUAACAAGGACAUACAUACAACUAUUAAGUCUGUAGUUAGUUACACCAAAUGCAGCCCAGAUCGACAUACUAGAUAUUAGUAUAUAUCAUGAAAAAGGGAA
Molecule: small RNA, 403 nt
Filed under: Histoplasma ohiense
Lineage: Eukaryota; Fungi; Ascomycota; Eurotiomycetes; Onygenales; Ajellomycetaceae
Description: hypothetical lncRNA
Source: RNAcentral